UGGGGAAUAUUGGGCAAUGGGGGCAACCCUGACCCAGCGACGCCGCGUGAGGGAAGAAGGCCUUCGGGUUGUAAACCUCUUUUGUCUGGGAAGAAGGACGUGACGGUACCAUACGAAUAAGUCCCGGCUACCUACGUGCCCGCAGCCGCGGUAAUACGUAGGGGACGAGCGUUUUCCGGAAUUACUGGGCGUAAAGGGCGCGCAGGCUGUUUGCAAAGUCAGCUGUUAAAUAUGGGGGCUUAACCCGUAUAUGCGGUUGAAACUAGCAGACUGGAGUGCUGUAGAGGCAAGUGGAAUUCCCAGUGUAGCGGUGAAAUGCGUAGAUAUUGGGAAGAACACCGGUGGCGAAGGCGACUUGCUGGGCAGCAACUGACGCUGAGGCGCGAAAGCCAGGGGAGCAAACG
Molecule: ribosomal RNA, 404 nt
Filed under: uncultured prokaryote
Description: bacterial SSU rRNA
Rfam family: Bacterial small subunit ribosomal RNA
Source: RNAcentral